Molecule: non-coding RNA, 568 nt
Filed under: Pteropus alecto (black flying fox)
Lineage: Eukaryota; Metazoa; Chordata; Mammalia; Chiroptera; Pteropodidae
Description: Eukaryotic small subunit ribosomal RNA
Rfam family: Eukaryotic small subunit ribosomal RNA
Source: Rfam by way of RNAcentral
AUCUCAAAGAUGAAGCUGUAUGUAUGUACAGCUGGGACAGUGAGACUGCAGGUAGCUCAUUAAGUCAGUUAUGGGUCCUUUGGUCACUUGGCUUUAACUUGGAUGAUGUAGUUCUAGUGCUAAUACACACCUAAAAGUGAUGACCCGCCCUUGUGGGAGAUGCUUGCCUUUUUCAGAUCAAAAUGCCACCCCAUCGGCUUUCCCUCACUGGUGGCUUUGGAGACUCUGUAGAACCUUGCUAGUUGUAGCCCCUCCUGGUGGCCACAAGCCAGCCAUUGGAACGUCUGCUCUACCCCCUUUCAUUGGUAGUGAUGGUACCAACCAUGGUGACCACAGGUGACAAGGCAUUAAGGUUCAAUUCCAGAGGAAGGACUGCCUUGAGGAAUGGCCACCACAUCCAAAGAAGGCAGUGGGCAUGCAACUUGCCCCUCUGAACCAGAGAAAGGGAGUGGUGAAAGUAAUACAGGACUUCUGUUGUCCUGUCAAAGGAAUGAGUCCACUUUUAUGUCCCUUAAGACAGAUCCACCUGAGGGCAAGUCUGGUUGCCAGCAACUGUGGAAGUUCCACU